UGAUAAAAUCAAACGCUGAAAUGAUCUCAAGUAUUCAUUUUUUGUCAGACAUCGUCUGGAAGCCUUGGGAAAGGACAUAUCAACCAUAAAUGUUCCUGUUGAAGCUGUUACUACUAUUCCUAAAGUGCAAAUUACAGCUCCUUCGUCUACGCCAUUGAUAGACGCAGUGACCCCUUCACCAGGGACUCCAAAUGCGAGAAAAAGAAGAACAGCAGCCUCGUUUUUGGACCAAAAUCCGCUGAA
Long non-coding RNA from Orbicella faveolata, 243 nucleotides. Lineage: Eukaryota; Metazoa; Cnidaria; Anthozoa; Scleractinia; Merulinidae. The record is from RefSeq and is a predicted model, not a curated record.